RNAcentral lists this ribosomal RNA (318 nucleotides) under Triticum aestivum (bread wheat). Its description in RNAcentral is "partial small subunit ribosomal RNA". Lineage: Eukaryota; Viridiplantae; Streptophyta; Magnoliopsida; Poales; Poaceae. The record is from RNAcentral.
AUGGCGCCUCCUGCAUCGCCUGGCCGGCCGGCGGGACGCCGCCUCCCACUACACCUUCUGGCCGGCCGUCGGGGACACCGCCCCUACUACAUCGCCCGGCCGACCGUCGGGGAGGCCGCCUCCUCCAACGCUGCCUCCCCACCAUCCAACGAUGCCGCCGCCCUUCACCGCGUCGGCCGCUGCCCUCACUCCGACGCUGCGAGCUGCGGCGCCAUCGCCCUUCACCGCGUCGCCCGCUGCCCUCACUCCGACGUUGCAAGCCGCCUAACCGGCCUGAUCCACUCGAUCUGGAUUGCCAACCCUCCAGACUUUCUUUGA